GUUGACCUCGGAUCAGGUAGGAAUACCCGCUGAACUUAAGCAUAUCAAUAAGCGGAGGAAAAGAAACCAACAGGGAUUACCCUAGUAACGGCGAGUGAAGCGGUAACAGCUCAAAUUUGAAAUCUGACCUUCACGGGUCCGAGUUGUAAUUUGUAGAGGAUGUUUCGGAUAAGGCUUUGGUUUAAGUUUCUUGGAACAGAACGUCAUAGAGGGUGAGAGUCCCGUCUAGAACCGAUAGCCGCGUUCAUGUGAAACUCCUUCGACGAGUCGAGUUGUUUGGGAAUGCAGCUCAAAAUGGGUGGUAAAUUUCAUCUAAAGCUAAAUAUUGGCCAGAGACCGAUAGCGCACAAGUAGAGUGAUCGAAAGAUGAAAAGCACUUUGAAAAGAGAGUUAAACAGUAUGUGAAAUUGUUGAAAGGGAAGCGCUUGCAACCAGACUUGUGUUUAACGGUUCCCCUGUGUCUUUUGACCAGGCUAUUCCGUUAUAUCCAGGCCAGCAUCGGUUCGGGUGGUUGGUUAAAGGCCUUGGGAAUGUAUCUACCUUCG
This 545-nucleotide ribosomal RNA is filed under the name Capronia sp. UBCTRA 1.01. RNAcentral describes it as "eukaryotic LSU rRNA". It matches the Rfam family "Eukaryotic large subunit ribosomal RNA", at positions 1 to 548 of the family's 3401-position model. The record is from RNAcentral. Lineage: Eukaryota; Fungi; Ascomycota; Eurotiomycetes; Chaetothyriales; Herpotrichiellaceae.